AGGGAAUAGAUACCCCCGGUAGUCCACGCUGUAAACGAUGAGUGCUGGACGUUGGCGGGUUUACCUGCCGGUGUCGCAGCUAAACGCGUUAAGCACUCCGCCUGGGGAGUACGGCCGCAAGGUUAAAACUCAAAGGAUUGACGGGGCCCGCACAAGCGGUGGAGCAUGUGGUUUAAUUCGACGCAACGCGCAGAACCUUACCAGCCCUUGACAUGGGCGGACGGGGUCCAGAGAUGGACUCUUUCUCGCAAGAGACCGCUACACAGGUGCUGCAUGGCUGUCGUCAGCUCGCGUCGUGACGAUGUUGGGUUAAGUCCCGCAACGAGCGCAACCCUGUCUCCAGUUGCCAUCGGGUAGAGCCGGGCAC
This 367-nucleotide ribosomal RNA is filed under the name uncultured bacterium. RNAcentral describes it as "bacterial SSU rRNA". It matches the Rfam family "Bacterial small subunit ribosomal RNA", at positions 773 to 1138 of the family's 1533-position model. The record is from RNAcentral.